AAUAGAAUCAGGCAAGUCCAUUUCUCUGAGCCUCACUCGAGCUAGCUCACUCCCCUGUUGUAACUUCUCGGUUUGAGUCCUGAUGACAUCAUCAACCAUCUCAGUGUACCUAGAAAGAGCUUUUGUACUGUUGUCUGGGACAAGACUGGAAAACAUCUUCUCUUUGCUUGCAUCCAGAAUAUCAUUCAUCUGCAUAGGCUUGACCAAGGAAAAUGCUGCAAGUGGUGGCAGUGAACUGGCUGGUGGAACCCUCAUGAGGUAGACUCUGUCGUUUUCCUUAAUAGCCUUCUCCAAGUUUAGAUUUGAACUAGCUUCUAGCUUAGUAAUUGCAUCCAAGAGCUGCUGCGGUGCACCCCUUGGAGAUGUUUUUCUUGCCCCAGACAAGGCAUUAACA
RNAcentral lists this unclassified non-coding RNA (394 nucleotides) under Hevea brasiliensis (rubber tree). Lineage: Eukaryota; Viridiplantae; Streptophyta; Magnoliopsida; Malpighiales; Euphorbiaceae. The record is from RNAcentral.